This 248-nucleotide ribosomal RNA is filed under the name Eurythenes sp. 1 HR-2016. RNAcentral's name for it is "partial 16S ribosomal RNA". The stretch from base 101 to 248 matches the Rfam family "Bacterial large subunit ribosomal RNA", at positions 2473 to 2620 of the family's 2925-position model. The record is from RNAcentral. Lineage: Eukaryota; Metazoa; Arthropoda; Malacostraca; Amphipoda; Lysianassidae.
UUAACUGGGGUAGUUUUUUUGUAAAAUCUGAGGUUGUAAAAGGCAUAUAAAGUGGGGUUAGGUCCUUUAGAUAAGGAUAAUUUGAGUGAGUUACUUUAGGGAUAACAGCGUAAUAGUCCUAGGGAGAUCGUAUCUAUGGGAUUGAUUGCGACCUCGAUGUUGAAUUAAAAGAUCAGUGUAGAGCAGGAGCUACAGGGUGAGGGUUUGUUCAACCUUUAAAUUUUUACAUGAUCAGAGUUCAGACCGGA